RNAcentral lists this ribosomal RNA (648 nucleotides) under uncultured Rhodospirillaceae bacterium. Its description in RNAcentral is "bacterial SSU rRNA". It matches the Rfam family "Bacterial small subunit ribosomal RNA", at positions 8 to 689 of the family's 1533-position model. Lineage: Bacteria; Pseudomonadati; Pseudomonadota; Alphaproteobacteria; Rhodospirillales; Rhodospirillaceae. The record is from RNAcentral.
AGAGUUUGAUCCUGGCUCAGAACGAACGCAUGGCGGCAUGCUUAACACAUGCAAGUCGAACGUGAAGCAGGCUUCGGCCUGUGGAAAGUGGCGCACGGGUGAGUAACACGUGGGAACCUACCCUAGAAUGGGGGACAACCGCUGGAAACGGCGGCUAAUACCGCAUACGCCCUACGGGGGAAAGGCUUCGGCCGUUCUUGGAUGGUCCCGCGCCCGAUUAGUUUGUUGGUGAGGUAACGGCUCACCAAGGCGACGAUCGGUAGCUGGUCUGAGAGGAUGAUCAGCCACACUGGGACUGAGACACGGCCCAGACUCCUACGGGAGGCAGCAGUGGGGAAUAUUGGACAAUGGGGGAAACCCUGAUCCAGCAAUGCCGCGUGAGUGAUGAAGGCCCUAGGGUUGUAAAGCUCUUUCGGCGGGGAAGAUGAUGACGGUACCCGCAGAAGAAGCCCCGGCUAACUCCGUGCCAGCAGCCGCGGUAAUACGGAGGGGGCUAGCGCUGUUCGGAAUUACUGGGCGUAAAGGGCGCGUAGGCGGUUUGCCAAGUCAGACGUGAAAGCCCCGGGCUCAACCUGGGAACUGCGUUUGAAACGGGUAGACUAGAGUCCGGGAGAGGAGAGCGGAAUUCCCAGUGUAGAGGUGAAAUUC